UUUUUAUACCUUUUGUCCGGAAAUACCUGUCCGAGGAAUGAAUGUAUCUAGACGUAUUUUAGUUCUAGAUACAUCCAUUUUUAUGCACUUCUCGGACAAGUAUAUCCCAACGGAGGGAGUACAUA
Non-coding RNA from Hordeum vulgare subsp. vulgare (domesticated barley), 125 nucleotides. Lineage: Eukaryota; Viridiplantae; Streptophyta; Magnoliopsida; Poales; Poaceae. The record is from Rfam.